This 83-nucleotide transfer RNA is filed under the name Candidatus Omnitrophota bacterium. RNAcentral describes it as "tRNA-Leu". It matches the Rfam family "tRNA". Rfam says of the family: Transfer RNA (tRNA) molecules are approximately 80 nucleotides in length. Their secondary structure includes four short double-helical elements and three loops (D, anti-codon, and T loops). Lineage: Bacteria; Pseudomonadati; Candidatus Omnitrophota. The record is from RNAcentral.
GCGGAGAUGGCGGAACUGGCAGACGCGUACGGCUCAGAACCGUAUGGGAAACCAUGGGGGUUCAAUUCCCCCUCUCCGCACCA